UACGGGGGGGGCAAGCGUUGUUCGGAAUUACUGGGCGUAAAGGGCUCGUAGGUGGCCAACUAAGUCAGACGUGAAAUCCCUCGGCUUAACCGGGGAACUGCGUCUGAUACUGGAUGGCCUGAGUUUGGGAGAGGGACGCGGAAUUCCAGGUGUAGCGGUGAAAUGCGUAGAUAUCUGGAGGAACACCGGUGGCGAAGGCGGCGUCCUGGACCAACACUGACACUGAUGAGCGAAAGCCAGGGGAGCAAACGGG
This 253-nucleotide ribosomal RNA is filed under the name uncultured bacterium. RNAcentral's name for it is "partial 16S ribosomal RNA". It matches the Rfam family "Bacterial small subunit ribosomal RNA", at positions 524 to 776 of the family's 1533-position model. The record is from RNAcentral.